RNAcentral lists this ribosomal RNA (443 nucleotides) under uncultured bacterium. RNAcentral's name for it is "partial 16S ribosomal RNA". It matches the Rfam family "Bacterial small subunit ribosomal RNA", at positions 338 to 795 of the family's 1533-position model. The record is from RNAcentral.
CCUACGGGAGGCAGCAGUGGGGGAUAUUGGACAAUGGGGGGAACCCUGAUCCAGCGACGCCGCGUGAGUGAAGAAGUAUUUCGGUAUGUAAAGCUCUGUCAGCAGGGAAGAAAGAAAUGACGGUACCUGACCAAGAAGCCCCGGCUAACUACGUGCCAGCAGCCGCGGUAAUACGUAGGGGGCAAGCGUUAUCCGGAAUUACUGGGUGUAAAGGGAGCGUAGACGGUUAAGUAAGUCUGGAGUGAAAGGCCGGGGCCCAACCCCGGGACUGCUCUGGAAACUGUUCAACUUGAGUGGAGGAGAGGUAGGCGGAAUGCCUAGUGUAGCGGUGAAAGGCGUAGAGAUUAGGAGGAAAACCAGGGGCGAAGGCGGCUUACUAAACUAUAACUGACGUUGAGGCUCGAAAGCGUGGGGAGCAAACAGGAUUAGAUACCCUGGUAGUC